AGGAGCUAUGGCCCGAAACUUUAAGGACAGAAUUAAAGAGCAUAAGGACAAUAUUUCUAAAGGAAACCUUACCACCGCCCCAGCGCAAAGAGCUUACGAGAACAACACAGAGAUCUUUUGGCAAGACACUGAAAUUAUAAAAAAUGUGCACGAUCGGAAAAUGUUACUGAUGACGGAAAAAAUCAAAAUCUUAAAGAACAGUAUUACUAGUAAUAUUAUUAACAUCAGACAAGCCGACGGAAUGAGCGCAGCCUGGAGGUAUGCAAUACGAAAUAACGUUCAAUGAAUUUUUUAACGAGUUUUAUUGACUCCCCCGUAGAAGAGAAAAUUUCUUCCACCUUACCCCCACUUAAUAAGUUUUUAAUUCUAUGUUAUAUUAUGUCACUUUUAAUUAUUAAUGUUAAAUUUUAUUCCUCUGUUCUAGAACUUUUCAAAUCGCAUAUUUCUUUACUAUGUUCUCUUCAC
RNAcentral lists this long non-coding RNA (465 nucleotides) under Androctonus crassicauda. Lineage: Eukaryota; Metazoa; Arthropoda; Arachnida; Scorpiones; Buthidae. The record is from RNAcentral.